Molecule: ribosomal RNA, 253 nt
Filed under: uncultured bacterium
Lineage: Bacteria
Description: partial 16S ribosomal RNA
Rfam family: Bacterial small subunit ribosomal RNA
Source: RNAcentral
UACGUAGGUGGCAAGCGUUGUCCGGAAUUACUGGGUGUAAAGCGCGUGUAGGCGGCAGACCAAGUCGGCGGUGAAAGCGCCCGGCUCAACUGGGCGAGGUCCGUGGAAACUGGUCAUCUGGAGGACGGUAGAGGCGAGUGGAAUUCCCGGUGUAGUGGUGAAAUGCGUAGAGAUCGGGAGGAACACCCAUGGCGAAGGCAGCAAGCUGGGCGACACCUGACGCUGAGGCGCGAAAGCGUGGGUAGCAAACAGG